This 461-nucleotide unclassified non-coding RNA is filed under the name Hevea brasiliensis (rubber tree). The record is from RNAcentral. Lineage: Eukaryota; Viridiplantae; Streptophyta; Magnoliopsida; Malpighiales; Euphorbiaceae.
AAGAUAUUUAAAAAAACUAAUAUCCAUUAUGCAAUCUGGUAUGCUUCGCUAUAUCAUUGUGUUGUCACAUUUGAUUGGAGUGAAACAUCUUGGAAUUUAAUAUCAAUGGGUUGAGCUUUCCCCUUCCUAUCCUAUGUGGCUUUCUUAAAUGCAAAUUUUCAUUUGAGAUGGUGUGUUGUUUGACAUGGAUGUCAUAUAUAUAUAUAUAACCAGUGACUUACUAAUGCUAUAGUAUUACCGUGGAUAGGAGUAGUAGCAUAAAAAAAUGUGAACAUGAUUUUGGUUUACGAAAUUUCACUUGCUACGAUUGAUUCUGCGGUGCCAUAUGCAGAACCAAUGAACUGUAAAUGCUUGUAUUUUCAAUUUGGAAAAUUUUAUAGCUAUUCACCAAGUUCUUCCGCUUGCUUCUCUUGUAUAUGACACAAAAGUAAAGUCGCAUUUUGUUUUUGGGUAAUGACAGG